GACGAACGCUGGCGGCGUGCUUAACACAUGCAAGUCGAACGGAAAGGCCCUGCUUUUGUGGGGUGCUCGAGUGGCGAACGGGUGAGUAACACGUGAGUAACCUGCCCUUGACUUUGGGAUAACCUCAGGAAACUGGGGCUAAUACCGGAUAGGAGCUCCUGCCGCAUGGUGGGGGUUGGAAAGUUUCGGCGGUUGGGGAUGGACUCGCGGCUUAUCAGCUUGUUGGUGGGGUAGUGGCUUACCAAGGCUUUGACGGGUAGCCGGCCUGAGAGGGUGACCGGCCACAUUGGGACUGAGAUAGGGACCAGACUCCUACGGGAGGCAGCAGUGGGGAAUAUUGCACAAUGGGCGGAAGCCUGAUGCAGAAACGCCGCGUGCGGGAUGGCGGCCUUCGGGUUGUAAACCGCUUUCGCCUGUGACGAAGCGUGAGUGACGGUAAUGGGUAAAGAAGCACCGGCUAACUACGUG
Molecule: ribosomal RNA, 468 nt
Filed under: uncultured bacterium
Lineage: Bacteria
Description: partial 16S ribosomal RNA
Rfam family: Bacterial small subunit ribosomal RNA
Source: RNAcentral